ACAGAGGCGGCAAGCGUUGUUCGGAAUUACUGAGCGUAAAGCGUGCGCAGGCGGCUCUGUAAGACAGAUGUGAAAUCCCCGGGCUCAACCUGGGAACUGCAUUUGUGACUGCAAGGCUAGAGUGCGACAGAGGGAGGUGGAAUUCCGCGUGUAGCAGUGAAAUGCGUAGAGAUGCGGAGGAACACCGAUGGCGAAGGCAGCCUCCUGGGAUGACACUGACGCUCAUGCACGAAAGCGUGGGGAGCAAACGG
This 251-nucleotide ribosomal RNA is filed under the name uncultured prokaryote. RNAcentral's name for it is "partial 16S ribosomal RNA". It matches the Rfam family "Bacterial small subunit ribosomal RNA", at positions 525 to 775 of the family's 1533-position model. The record is from RNAcentral.